UUGCUGAAGCUGCUUCCAUGUCCUUAAGGUGAGAAAGCAUGUGAGGACUUUGCAAGUACUUGGAGUAAAGGAAGAGGAGAGAAUUCACAGAGUGAAAAGAGGAGAAAGAGUGCUCUAAAAUAUCACCAAUGGACUGCAACAUGUUGAACACUGGCUACUACACCACUCUUUCUGUUGCUGAGGGAUGCUGCUCUAUAAGACAAAGGGGAAGAAAGAAAGCCUGGAACGAAGAACUGAAGUCUUUUAAUCUUACGUACUGGAGAGGAACCCCCAUCUCGCCACCCCCAGUGCCAGGGCCUAAACAUUGAAGGUUGUUGUCAGAGUCAAUGGGUUAAAUUUGUAAAGGUUACUCUAUGCUGAAGAGAAUUAAAUAACUAAUCCCUGUAUCUCCUGAUGAAAAUAAUGCC
This is a long non-coding RNA of Rhinopithecus roxellana (golden snub-nosed monkey), 407 nucleotides long. RefSeq lists it as uncharacterized. The transcript is spliced from 3 exons. NCBI's taxonomy places the organism in Eukaryota, Metazoa, Chordata, Mammalia, Primates, Cercopithecidae. The record is from RefSeq and is a predicted model, not a curated record.